This 572-nucleotide ribosomal RNA is filed under the name Ganoderma carocalcareum. Its description in RNAcentral is "SSU rRNA". It matches the Rfam family "Bacterial small subunit ribosomal RNA", at positions 348 to 965 of the family's 1533-position model. The record is from RNAcentral. Lineage: Eukaryota; Fungi; Basidiomycota; Agaricomycetes; Polyporales; Polyporaceae.
UCAGCAGUCCAAAAUAUUAGUCAAUGCUCGUAAGAGUGAACUAGCUAACUGAAAUCAUAGAAUUUUUUAAAAUUCAUGAUGUCGUAAGGGAAAAUAAUGAUAAUACCUUACUAUGAGUGUCGUCCAAAUCUGGUGCCAGAAGACUCGGUAAGACCAGAGACGCAAACGUUAAUCAUCAUAAACAGGCGUAAAGGGUUUGUAGGCAGCUUUUAUAGGAUUAUUCUAAAAAGGUAAUCUAAAUUAAAAGCUAGAAUCAAAAAGAGGUUAUAGUGUAUAACGCCUAGAGGAGGGCUGAUAUCCGUAGAUCCUAGGCAGAAUACUCAGGGCGAAGGCCACUCUCCAUUAAUGAUUGACGCUGAGAAACGAAGGUUAGGGUAGGAAAUAGGAUUAGAUACCCCGGUACUCCUUUCUGUAAACGAUGAAUGGUAGUCAUUAGUAAAAAUAACUAGAGGCGAAGUUAACACAAUAACCAUUCCGCCUUGUGAGUACUACUGCAAAGUAGAAAACAAAAAAAUUAGUCGGUCUCGAAGCAAACGGAGUGAAGCAUGUUAUUUAAUUAAAAUAUCCCCCAA